RNAcentral lists this ribosomal RNA (440 nucleotides) under uncultured bacterium. Its description in RNAcentral is "partial 16S ribosomal RNA". It matches the Rfam family "Bacterial small subunit ribosomal RNA", at positions 338 to 795 of the family's 1533-position model. The record is from RNAcentral.
CCUACGGGAGGCAGCAGUGGGGAAUAUUGCACAAUGGGGGAAACCCUGAUGCAGCGACGCCGCGUGAGUGAAGAAGUAAUUCGUUAUGUAAAGCUCUAUCAGCCGGGAAGAAAAUGACGGUACCUGAGUCAGAAGCCCCGGCUAACUACGUGCCAGCAGCCGCGGUAAUACGUAGGGGGCAAGCGUUAUCCGGAUUUACUGGGUGUAAAGGGAGCGUAGACGGCAGUGCAAGUCUGGAGUGAAAGGCGGGGGCUCAACCCCCGGACUGCUCUGGAAACUGUACGGCUGGAGUGCAGGAGAGGUAAGUGGAAUUCCUAGUGUAGCGGUGAAAUGCGUAGAUAUUAGGAGGAACACCAGUGGCGAAGGCGGCUUACUGGACUGUAACUGACGUUGAGGCUCGAAAGCGUGGGGAGCAAACAGGAUUAGAUACCCGAGUAGUC